UUGAGCGGAGAUAUAUGGAGCUUGCUUUAUAUAACUUAGCAGCGAACGGGUGAGUAACACGUAGAUAAUCUAUCCUAUACUGGGGGAUAGCCCGAUGAAAGUUGGAUUAAUACCGCAUAUAGCUAUAUAGUUGCAUGAUUAUGUAGUGAAAGAUUUAUUGGUAUAGGAGGAGUCUGCGGCACAUUAGCUAGUAGGUGAGGUAAAGGCUUACCUAGGCGACGAUGUGUAGCCGGUCUGAGAGGAUGAACGGCCACAAUGGAACUGAGACACGGUCCAUACUCCUACGGGAGGCAGCAGUGGGGAAUAUUGCACAAUGGGGGAAACCCUGAUGCAGCAACGCCGCGUGAGUGAAGAAGGUUUUCGGAUUGUAAAGCUCUGUUAGCAGGGAAGAGGAAGGACGGUACCUGCAGAGGAAGCCACGGCUAACUACGUGCCAGCAGCCGCGGUAAUACGUAGGUGGCAAGCGUUGUUCGGAAUAACUGGGCGUAAAGGAUGCGUAGGCGGUUAAACAAGUUAUAUGUUAAAUAUAUAGGCUUAACCUGUAGAAAGCAUAUAAAACUGUUUAACUAGAGUGCAGGAGAGGUAAGUGGAAUUCCUAGUGUAGCGGUGAAAUGCGUAGAGAUUAGGAAGAACACCAGUGGCGAAGGCGACUUACUGGACUGUAACUGACGCUGAGGCAUGAGAGCAUGGGGAGCAAACAGGAUUAGAUACCCUGGUAGUCCAUGCUGUAAACGAUGGGUACUCGGUGUGGGUUGUGAAUAACAAUUCGUGCCGUCGCAAACGCAAUAAG
This 790-nucleotide ribosomal RNA is filed under the name uncultured bacterium. RNAcentral describes it as "bacterial SSU rRNA". It matches the Rfam family "Bacterial small subunit ribosomal RNA", at positions 62 to 864 of the family's 1533-position model. The record is from RNAcentral.